UCUUUCCAAAAAUGUAACUUUCAUGUACCAAAACAUCACCAUGCAAAAUGGCAUUUUUGAACUUGCCUUAAUUAAUUUCAAGUGAGUGGAAUUUUGACUUUUCAAAAUAAUCAUUUCUAAUCAAUUCUACCAUUCAAAUAUGAUCUGAAAAUGCAUUUGAGACUUGUUGGAAGCCCAUUCUUGUGCAGUACACAUAGCCAUCACCUAGUUGCUUGAAAUUUGGAAGAAAAGUACACUUCUCACCAACUAUACUCCACAUUUUCAUGGCCUUUGAU
Molecule: long non-coding RNA, 275 nt
Filed under: Lathyrus oleraceus (garden pea)
Lineage: Eukaryota; Viridiplantae; Streptophyta; Magnoliopsida; Fabales; Fabaceae
Description: Pisum sativum (pea) long non-coding RNA (PSAT_LNC039031)
Source: RNAcentral